UUGAGCCUUGAUGUGUAGGAUAGGUGGGAGGCUUUGAAGCGUGGACGCCAGUCUGCGUGGAGCCAACCUUGAAAUACCACCCUUUAAUGUUUGAUGUUCUAACGUUGGCCCCUUACCGGGGUUGCGGACAGUGUCUGGUGGGUAGUUUGACUGGGGCGGUCUCCUCCCAAAGCGUAACGGAGGAGCACGAAGGUUAGCUAAUCCUGGUCGGACAUCAGGAGGUUAGUGCAAUGGCAUAAGCUAGCUUGACUGCGAGCGUGACGGCG
RNAcentral lists this ribosomal RNA (266 nucleotides) under Enterobacter cloacae. RNAcentral describes it as "partial 23S ribosomal RNA". It matches the Rfam family "Bacterial large subunit ribosomal RNA", at positions 2124 to 2389 of the family's 2925-position model. RNAcentral also lists the same sequence under 2 other names. The record is from RNAcentral. Lineage: Bacteria; Pseudomonadati; Pseudomonadota; Gammaproteobacteria; Enterobacterales; Enterobacteriaceae.